Molecule: ribosomal RNA, 810 nt
Filed under: Cytospora prunicola
Lineage: Eukaryota; Fungi; Ascomycota; Sordariomycetes; Diaporthales; Cytosporaceae
Description: partial large subunit ribosomal RNA
Rfam family: Eukaryotic large subunit ribosomal RNA
Source: RNAcentral
GCCCUAGUAACGGCGAGUGAAGCGGCAACAGCUCAAAUUUGAAAGCUGGCUUAGGCCCGCAUUGUAAUUUGCAGAGGAUGCUUCUGGCGAGGUGCCUUCCGAGUUCCCUGGAACGGGACGCCAUAGAGGGUGAGAGCCCCGUAUGGAUGGACACCAGACCUGUGUGAAGCUCCUUCAACGAGUCGAGUAGUUUGGGAAUGCUGCUCUAAAUGGGAGGUAAAUCUCUUCUAAAGCUAAAUACCGGCCAGAGACCGAUAGCGCACAAGUAGAGUGAUCGAAAGAUGAAAAGCACCUUGAAAAGGGGGUUAAACAGUACGUGAAAUUGUUGAAAGGGAAGCGCUUGUGACCAGACUUGCGCCGGGCAGCUCAUCAGGGGUUCUCCCCUGUGCACUCUGCCCGGCUCAGGCCAGCAUCGGUUCUCGUGGGAGGAUAAGAACGGUAGGAACGUGGCCCCCCUCCGGGGGGGUGUUAUAGCCUGCCGUACGAUACUCCCGUGGGGACCGAGGUUCGCGCUCCGCAAGGAUGCUGGCGUAAUGGUCAUCAGCGACCCGUCUUGAAACACGGACCAAGGAGUCGUCCAUUAGAGCGAGCGUUUGGGUGUAAAACCCGCACGCGUAAUGAAAGUGAACGCAGGUGAGAGCUUCGGCGCAUCAUCGACCGAUCCUGAUGUCUUCGGAUGGAUUUGAGUAAGAGUUUUAACGGACGGACCCGAAAGACAGUGAACUAUGCUUGUAUAGGGUGAAGCCAGAGGAAACUCUGGUGGAGGCUCGCAGCGGUUCUGACGUGCAAAUCGAUCGUCAAAUAUGAGCA